UACGAAGGGGGCUAGCGUUGCUCGGAUUGACUGGGCGUAAAGAGCGUGUAGGCGGCCAGGUAGGUCUGCUGUGAAAACUCGAGGCUCAACCUCGAGACGUCGGCGGAAACCAUCUGGCUAGAGUCCGGAAGAGGAGAAUGGAAUUCCCGGUGUAGCGGUGAAAUGCGCAGAUAUCGGGAAGAACACCCGUGGCGAAGGCGGUUCUCUGGGACGGUACUGACGCUGAGACGCGAAAGCGUGGGGAGCGAACAGG
Molecule: ribosomal RNA, 253 nt
Filed under: uncultured bacterium
Lineage: Bacteria
Description: partial 16S ribosomal RNA
Rfam family: Bacterial small subunit ribosomal RNA
Source: RNAcentral